UACCGGGUGGUGCAGCGUUAAUCGGAAUUACUGGGCGUAAAGCGCACGCAGGCGGUUUGUUAAGCAAGAUGUGAAAGCCCCGGGCUCAACCUGGGAACUGCAUUUUGAACUGGCAGACUAGAGUCUUGGAGAGGGGGGUGGAAUUCCAGGUGUAGCGGUGAAAUGCGUAGAGAUCUGGAGGAACAUCAGUGGCGAAGGCGGCCCCCUGGCCAAAGACUGACGCUCAUGUGCGAAAGUGUGGGUAGCGAACAGGAUUAGACUACCCGUG
RNAcentral lists this ribosomal RNA (268 nucleotides) under uncultured bacterium. RNAcentral describes it as "partial 16S ribosomal RNA". It matches the Rfam family "Bacterial small subunit ribosomal RNA", at positions 524 to 791 of the family's 1533-position model. The record is from RNAcentral.